Molecule: transfer RNA, 73 nt
Filed under: Chloroflexota bacterium
Lineage: Bacteria; Bacillati; Chloroflexota
Also listed under: 1 other name
Description: Chloroflexi bacterium (groundwater metagenome) tRNA-Asn
Rfam family: tRNA
About the family: Transfer RNA (tRNA) molecules are approximately 80 nucleotides in length. Their secondary structure includes four short double-helical elements and three loops (D, anti-codon, and T loops).
Source: RNAcentral
UCCGCGAUAGCUCAAUCGGCAGAGCAUGCGGCUGUUAACCGCAGGGUUCAAGGUUCAAGUCCUUGUCGCGGAG